GCAGACACAUUCCAGCCAAUCAGCAGCAGACCCUCCCUCCCAGACCCUCCCACCUCCUGGACAGCAUCCAUUUUGAAGCUGUAUUCUUAGUGAGCUGUCCAGGAGGUGGGAGGGUCUGGGAGGGAGGGUCUGCUGCUGAUUGGCUGGAAUGUGUCUG
Molecule: non-coding RNA, 157 nt
Organism: Pelobates cultripes (western spadefoot toad)
Lineage: Eukaryota; Metazoa; Chordata; Amphibia; Anura; Pelobatidae
Source: the annotation of a GenBank genome assembly